ACGGGUGAGUAACGCGUGGGAAUCUACCCAUCUCUACGGAACAACUCCGGGAAACUGGAGCUAAUACCGUAUACGUCCUUCGGGAGAAAGAUUUAUCGGAGAUGGAUGAGCCCGCGUUGGAUUAGCUAGUUGGUGGGGUAAUGGCCUACCAAGGCGACGAUCCAUAGCUGGUCUGAGAGGAUGAUCAGCCACAUUGGGACUGAGACACGGCCCAAACUCCUACGGGAGGCAGCAGUGGGGAAUAUUGGACAAUGGGCGCAAGCCUGAUCCAGCCAUGCCGCGUGAGUGAUGAAGGCCCUAGGGUUGUAAAGCUCUUUCAACGGUGAAGAUAAUGACGGUAACCGUAGAAGAAGCCCCGGCUAACUUCGUGCCAGCAGCCGCGGUAAUACGAAGGGGGCUAGCGUUGUUCGGAAUUACUGGGCGUAAAGCGCACGUAGGCGGAUUGUUAAGUUAGGGGUGAAAUCCCAGGGCUCAACCCUGGAACUGCCUUUAAUACUGGCAAUCUCGAGUCCGAGAGAGGUGAGUGGAAUUCCGAGUGUAGAGGUGAAAUUCGUAGA
Molecule: ribosomal RNA, 557 nt
Filed under: Mesorhizobium sp. BvORR110
Lineage: Bacteria; Pseudomonadati; Pseudomonadota; Alphaproteobacteria; Hyphomicrobiales; Phyllobacteriaceae
Also listed under: 1 other name
Description: bacterial SSU rRNA
Rfam family: Bacterial small subunit ribosomal RNA
Source: RNAcentral